AAAAAACCACGUCAGUUGUUAAAUGACAAUCAGAGAAUAACACGAUGUGAAAAUUGUUACAACACAUAGACUAUCCUCAACCACCCCAAGGCCCCAAUACACAUGCAUUCUCCAAAGCAAAUAUUUAACUAUCCUUCACAACACUCUAAAAUAAGAGUAUAAGAGAAAAUAUAAAAAGUCAAAUACAAAUUUAAAGUACUUUUGACUGAUAUAUCUUGGAAUGAAGAACUUGAAUCUUAUAUAUAGCUUUGAACUCCGUCUUCUUUUACAAAACUAAACGAUGUGAGACUUCAAAGAACUUGUAUUCUAUAUAUAAUCCUAUAUUCUCUCUUCAUUUACAAAAAAACUAAGUAAUCUGAAAAAUCUUCAAUAUAUAUAUUUUUAACCAACCCCAUAAAAAGUCAAAUUAAAUAAAUCAUGUCAUAUUAGAUUUAAAUAUGUCAAAUUAUAGAGUUAUGUAGGUCGGUCAAACAUAUUCUCAUCCCUAACCCCUAAUUAUAUUGGGUGACCAAUUCUACCGAACAAUAAACAUAAACUAGACAUCUCAUGUGAAGAUCUUUUCAAAAUCACAUUUGUAAUGCUUAGACUUCACUUUAAAGUGUUAAAACACAAAUAUAGAAAUAUUAUAGUAGUUAUAACAAUUAAGUAACAAUAACAAGCAUCAGCAAUACUAACUUUCAAUGAAGUACAAUGCGCCGUCAAUAAUAACAACAUUAAAAUAAACAAUAACAACAUUUAGUACUCCCCAAAAAACCUUCAUUCUGGGCUUAGGCUAGUUGUAAACUCUCUCAAUGAUGAGAACUAGGAGGUGGAGGAGAAAAGAAGUAGAACGCCGCCGGCGGUGGUGGAGGAAUCUUCCGAUGCCUAUAUGCUGGUGGCACAUGCUGGUGGCACCCAGGUGGUGGUGGCUGUGCACCAUGGUGUGGCUGUGGAAAAGAGUGAACAAAAGUAACGCUUGAUGAAAUGUUGAGUAAGAAAGCCAAUAGAAACGCAAUCAACAAAAGAAAGUUUCUCAUGUUUUUAUCUUUCACUUCUUAACACACACUUUAGUUAUAAACGGUUACAACUUUAAAUCAAAUAAUGGAGACACAUGGUACUUAUAGAGGUAAAAUAAAGAGUCAAAAGUUAUGAGAUUAGUUUCACAUUACUAAAACUAAUAUAAAAUUAAGAUGGGCCAGGGUUGGUAAUUGUUUGGUUAGAGAAGGUGAGAAACACCAACCAUAGCAUAAUAACAUUAAUAAUGAAUCCAAGGUUGGCAUUUCAGUGAAGUUUGAGUUCUAAGAUUUUAGAUUUAAAUGUUUUCGGAUGUUAAUAAUCUUUGUGUCGG
RNAcentral lists this long non-coding RNA (1327 nucleotides) under Lathyrus oleraceus (garden pea). Its description in RNAcentral is "Pisum sativum (pea) long non-coding RNA (PSAT_LNC017367)". Lineage: Eukaryota; Viridiplantae; Streptophyta; Magnoliopsida; Fabales; Fabaceae. The record is from RNAcentral.